UUUAUCGGAGAGUUUGAUCCUGGCUCAGGACGAACGCUGGCGGCGUGCCUAAUACAUGCAAGUCGAGCGGACAGAUGGGAGCUUGCUCCCUGAUGUUAGCGGCGGACGGGUGAGUAACACGUGGGUAACCUGCCUGUAAGACUGGGAUAACUCCGGGAAACCGGGGCUAAUACCGGAUGGUUGUUUGAACCGCAUGGUUCAGACAUAAAAGGUGGCUUCGGCUACCACUUACAGAUGGACCCGCGGCGCAUUAGCUAGUUGGUGAGGUAACGGCUCACCAAGGCAACGAUGCGUAGCCGACCUGAGAGGGUGAUCGGCCACACUGGGACUGAGACACGGCCCAGACUCCUACGGGAGGCAGCAGUAGGGAAUCUUCCGCAAUGGACGAAAGUCUGACGGAGCAACGCCGCGUGAGUGAUGAAGGUUUUCGGAUCGUAAAGCUCUG
This 445-nucleotide ribosomal RNA is filed under the name Bacillus velezensis. RNAcentral describes it as "bacterial SSU rRNA". It matches the Rfam family "Bacterial small subunit ribosomal RNA", at positions 1 to 435 of the family's 1533-position model. The record is from RNAcentral. Lineage: Bacteria; Bacillati; Bacillota; Bacilli; Caryophanales; Bacillaceae.